Molecule: transfer RNA, 69 nt
Filed under: Ictidomys tridecemlineatus (thirteen-lined ground squirrel)
Lineage: Eukaryota; Metazoa; Chordata; Mammalia; Rodentia; Sciuridae
Description: Spermophilus tridecemlineatus (thirteen-lined ground squirrel) tRNA
Rfam family: tRNA
About the family: Transfer RNA (tRNA) molecules are approximately 80 nucleotides in length. Their secondary structure includes four short double-helical elements and three loops (D, anti-codon, and T loops).
Source: Rfam by way of RNAcentral
GGGGUUGUGGCUCAGGGGUAAAGCACUCGCUUGACACGUGUGAGGUCCUGGGUUCGAUCCUCAGCACCA